Molecule: long non-coding RNA, 915 nt
Filed under: Nicotiana tabacum (common tobacco)
Lineage: Eukaryota; Viridiplantae; Streptophyta; Magnoliopsida; Solanales; Solanaceae
Description: long non-coding RNA (NTAB_LNC002033)
Source: RNAcentral
UUCCACUUCCGUAUAUCAAUUGUGAUAGUUGUGUCAUAGUAUCAGCCAUUAGUCAUUGAAUCUAAAUUGAGUUAUCAAAGUGGUGUGAUUUAAAUUCGACGGUGGAAGAGAAACAUAUGCACCUAGAAGUUCAUUCCGAUAUUUCUACUCUCCCAGAGAUGAGCCCCAUCCGGAGAACGUGGCUUUCUCAUGGUUAAUUUCUGUUGAAGGCUACUAGCUUUGGACCUUUUACCUUUGGAAAAUACAUUUUCGAUUUGUGAUGUAACAAGUAAGGAUAUUUUCUUCAACAAAUGAGAUUUUUAGCACAUUAGCAACGUAAAAUUUUACGGUUCUAAAGGAAUACGGUGCAAUCUUUUUCAAGAAUAUUAUACGGAGUUUUCUCUAUUUUAGGUAUGUUAAUGUCCUCCCUUCUUUCUUUUGGCAUGGUCUAAAUUAUACUAAAGAAACGAGCAAAUACGCAGUUUUCUAUAAAAUUACUCUAUUCAUAGAAAUAGUCGGGCUGUCUAUAUUCUUGAUUCCCCAUGAGAGUUAUUAUUAUCUUUUGUUCAUGGGUUUCAGAAUAAUACGCAGUUGGAAAAGUUUAUCCGGAAAGAAUAACGAGAUUAUUAUAUAUUUUUCAUGCAUUUCACUCAUUUAUACAUGAUCAUUGACCCAUCACCAAAUGAUGUUAUAUACGCGUAUAUAUAUAAAUAUAUGUAUAUGAAAUAUGGAAAAAGGUUACGGCGUUAUAUACGCAUCACCACCUGAUCAGCUGGUAUAUGAUAAUGAUGUUGCCCAAAGUGGCUGAAAUAUGAUUCAAAUGACAUUACAUAUUCGGUACAUUAUUCGUACUGACGUCUCUUUUGCUUGGGGACGCGUGUGUUUCAUGCCCGCAGGUCCCGAUAGACAGGUCGAGAGCCCUCCAAGUAGGCUAUC